RNAcentral lists this transfer-messenger RNA (316 nucleotides) under Bifidobacterium breve. RNAcentral's name for it is "partial transfer-messenger RNA". It matches the Rfam family "transfer-messenger RNA", at positions 79 to 374 of the family's 374-position model. Rfam says of the family: Bacterial tmRNA, also known as 10Sa RNA or SsrA, is named for its dual tRNA and mRNA-like properties. Its role is to liberate the mRNA from a stalled ribosome. To accomplish this part of the tmRNA is used as a reading frame that ends in a translation stop signal. Lineage: Bacteria; Bacillati; Actinomycetota; Actinomycetes; Bifidobacteriales; Bifidobacteriaceae. The record is from RNAcentral.
GCAAAAGAAUAAGUGCUAAAUCUAACCGCACUGAGUUCGCUCUCGCUGCCUGAUUUUUAGUCAGGAUUAACCAGUGAGCAGCCGCUCCGUUCACUCCUCUUCGUCUUUGGGAGGAUGCUGAGCGUCGUUAAGAAGACUUGCUGAUGGAGUUGAGCCUCAGGGCUCCAUCGGGACUUUUACUGCGGAUAUGCUCGCCAUCAGUUGUCUGCGACAGCGAUGGGGGCAGAAAAACCGCCAACUUGGCCAGCAGACUACGCACGUAGAAGACUGUGGGCUCGGUCAUCGGACCGGGGUUCGAUUCCCCGCGACUCCACCA